AACGAACGCUGGCGGCAUGCCUAACACAUGCAAGUCGAACGAGACCUUCGGGUCUAGUGGCGCACGGGUGCGUAACGCGUGGGAACCUGCCCUUAGGUUCGGAAUAACUCCCCGAAAGGGGUGCUAAUACCGGAUAAUGUCUUCGGACCAAAGAUUUAUCGCCUUUGGAUGGGCCCGCGUUGGAUUAGCUAGUUGGUAGGGUAAAAGCCUACCAAGGCGACGAUCCAUAGCUGGUCUGAGAGGAUGAUCAGCCACACUGGGACUGAGACACGGCCCAGACUCGUACGGGAGGAAGAAGGGGGGAAUAUUGGACAAGGGGCGAAAGUCUGAUCCAGCAAUGCCGCGUGAGUGAUGAAGGCCUUAGGGGUGUAAAGCUCUUUUCCCCGGGAUGAUAAUGACAGUACCGGGAGAAUAAGCUCCGGCUAACUCCGUG
RNAcentral lists this ribosomal RNA (433 nucleotides) under uncultured bacterium. RNAcentral's name for it is "partial 16S ribosomal RNA". It matches the Rfam family "Bacterial small subunit ribosomal RNA", at positions 29 to 507 of the family's 1533-position model. The record is from RNAcentral.